GAUGAACGCUGGCGGCGUGCCUAAUACAUGCAAGUCGAGCGAACGGACGAGAAGCUCGCUUUUCUGAUGUUAGCGGCGGACGGGUGAGUAACACGUGGAUAACCUACCUAUAAGACUGGGAUAACUUCGGGAAACCGGAGCUAAUACCGGAUAAUAUUUUGAACGGCAUGGUUCAAAAGUGAAAGACGGUCUUGCUGUCACUUAUAGAUGGAUCCGCGCUGCAUUAGCUAGUUGGUAAGGUAACGGCUUACCAAGGCAACGAUGCAUAGCCGACCUGAGAGGGUGAUCGGCCACACUGGAACUGAGACACGGUCCAGACUCCUACGGGAGGCAGCAGUAGGGAAUCUUCCGCAAUGGGCGAAAGCCUGACGGAGCAACGCCGCGUGAGUGAUGAAGGUCUUCGGAUCGUAAAACUCUGUUAUUAGGGAAGAACAUAUGUGUAAGUAACUGUGCACAUCUUGACGGUACCUAAUCAGAAAGCCACGGCUAACUACGUG
Molecule: ribosomal RNA, 497 nt
Filed under: uncultured bacterium
Lineage: Bacteria
Description: partial 16S ribosomal RNA
Rfam family: Bacterial small subunit ribosomal RNA
Source: RNAcentral